GAGACUCUGUGCGCGUGCAUAUCAAUAAGCGGAGGAAAAGAAACUAACAAGGAUUCCCCUAGUAACGGCGAGUGAAGCGGGAAGAGCUCAAAUUUGAAAUCUUAAAGGGUUUCCCUUUACGAAUUGUAGUUUAAAGAAGUGUUUUCUGUUGGAGUUUCGGUAAAAGUUCUUUGGAAUAGGACAUCAUAGAGGGUGAGAAUCCCGUAUUUGACCGUUACUUUCCAGCUGUGUGAUACACUUUCAAAGAGUCGGAUUGUUUGGGAAUGCAGUCCAAAAUGGGUGGUAAAUUUCAUCUAAAGCUAAAUAUUGGCGAGAGACCGAUAGCGAACAAGUACCGUGAGGGAAAGAUGAAAAGAACUUUGAAAAGAGAGUUAAACAGUACGUGAAAUUGUCAAAAGGGAAGCGUUUGACACCAGUGUUGUUUAGUUGAAAAUCAAUUCAAUAAUUUUUGAUUUUAAGUAGUAUUGACUUCAUCAGCUUGCUGCUUUCUUUUCAGGAAUUAUUGAAUGCACUUUUCAGUUAACAAGUCAACAUCAAUUUCUUUUGUUGUAAAAGGGUAAGAGGAAGGUGGCUUACGCUUCGGCGUAAGUGUUUAUAGCCUUUUAUCUCUGCAAUCGGAGAGAUUGAGGUCUGCAGCGUAGAUCCUUCGGGGUUAGAUACAUUGGUGCUAAGCUAUAGCCUUGUAUAGACAACUUGUUGACUAUGCUCAGUCAUGUAGCUUACUCGCUGAUGCUAUUUUACCUACGCUUAGGAUGUUGAUCUGUAGUGCGUGCGC
This 775-nucleotide ribosomal RNA is filed under the name uncultured Neocallimastigales. RNAcentral describes it as "partial large subunit ribosomal RNA". It matches the Rfam family "Eukaryotic large subunit ribosomal RNA", at positions 23 to 646 of the family's 3401-position model. The record is from RNAcentral. Lineage: Eukaryota; Fungi; Neocallimastigomycota; Neocallimastigomycetes; Neocallimastigales.